Molecule: unclassified non-coding RNA, 171 nt
Filed under: uncultured Lecanoromycetes
Lineage: Eukaryota; Fungi; Ascomycota; Lecanoromycetes
Description: sequence contains ITS1
Source: RNAcentral
AAGAGUUAGGGGCCUUGCCCCGAACCUCCAACCCAAUGCGAACCUUACCAAUGUUGCUUUGGCGGGCCCGUGGGUCCAUCCUGCCGCCGGCCUUCCCGGUUGGCGAGCGUCCGCCAGAGUCCACCAAAACUCGUUUAAUUAGUGACGUCUGAGAAAAACAUAAAUAGCAAA